RNAcentral lists this ribosomal RNA (253 nucleotides) under uncultured bacterium. RNAcentral's name for it is "partial 16S ribosomal RNA". It matches the Rfam family "Bacterial small subunit ribosomal RNA", at positions 524 to 776 of the family's 1533-position model. The record is from RNAcentral.
UACGAACUGUGCGAACGUUAUUCGGAAUCACUGGGCUUACAGGGUGCGUAGGCGGCUAUUCAGGUCAGGUGUGAAAGCCCCCGGCUCAACCGGGGAACUGCACUUGAAACCGAGUGGCUCGAGUCAGCUAGAGGUACACGGAACUUCCAGUGGAGCGGUGAAAUGUGUUGAUAUUGGAAGGAACACCGGAGGCGAAAGCGGUGCACUGGGGUUGGUCUGACGCUGAGGCACGAAAGCCAGGGGAGCGAACGGG